Rhea pennata is the source of this 843-nucleotide long non-coding RNA. RefSeq lists it as uncharacterized. NCBI's taxonomy places the organism in Eukaryota, Metazoa, Chordata, Aves, Rheiformes, Rheidae. The record is from RefSeq and is a predicted model, not a curated record. The transcript is spliced from 3 exons.
AGGUGCUAGUGAAGUUUGCAGCAAGAAACCGCUUAUUUUUCAAAGGCGAGGAAUCGCUCCGUUGCAGCAGCAGCGGUUUCAGUGCCCAUUUUGUGGGACUCGGAGGCUAGCAGCAAGCCCAGGGCUCCGCCUCAGAAAGGUCAGGAAGGUUUUAUGUUUUAAAAAGUCAUUACAGAAUCUUGGAAAUCUUUUUUCUUUUUUUGUUUCCCUCCCCAUAGGAAGAGACCACUGUAAAUAAAAAUAGCACUGAAUGGUUAGCUGUGAUUGCAAAAAGAAAAAAAGACCAAAAUGAGGGAAUUUCUCCAAUGCUCUGGAAGACGCCUUUACAAUCACAGCGCUAGGUCACCGCUGUGAAGCAGCACUGAGGCACCUUUGCUAUUUUUAGAGGAAACUUCCCUGCGGAUGCGUUUGAAAGGGAGACAGCAAGGAGGUGUGGUUGCUGCGCUUGAAUUCUACAGUGUCCUUCAGGGACCUUUUGACCUGCCUGUGCCUCAGUCAACUCAGCUGGAAAAUUGGGUAAAGAGCAAAGCCCGUUAGAAAACCAUCUUCAAUUUGAACAAAGAUUUCCUGGAGAUCCAAAAAAGUGAGUGUAGUCAUUUUGUACAGACAUAAUUGAUUGUGGCCCCCACAAGAAUAACAUCCUGAGCUGUGGGAUACAAUUGAUGACAUCUCAUUCAUUGUGGUGGCUGGGUGGUCUCUGCUUCUUCCACUGUAGCUGGUCCACAUUUCAUGUGUUCAAAGCCGUAUUUUCACUUUCAUGGCAUUAGCCUAGCUGUAUCUGUCCUCGUUACGAAUGUGCCUCAAAUAUUACAUGACUGUAAGAAGGUACUGGGAGGUAAUUAC